This 552-nucleotide ribosomal RNA is filed under the name uncultured bacterium. RNAcentral describes it as "bacterial SSU rRNA". It matches the Rfam family "Bacterial small subunit ribosomal RNA", at positions 354 to 896 of the family's 1533-position model. The record is from RNAcentral.
GUGGGGAAUUUUGCCAUUAUGGGCGCAAGCCUGAUCCAGCCAUGCCGCGUGUUCUGAAGAAGGCCUUCGGGUUGUAAAGGACUUUUGUCAGGGAAGAAAAGGCUGUUGCUAAUACCGACAGUUGAUGACGGUACCUGAAGAAUAAGCACCGGCUAACUACGUGCCAGCAGCCGCGGUAAUACGUAGGGUGCGAGCGUUAAUCGGAAUUACUGGGCGUAAAGCGAGCGCAGACGGUUACUUAAGCAGGAUGUGAAAUCCCCGGGCUCAACCUGGGAACUGCGUUCUGAACUGGGUGACUAGAGUGUGUCAGAGGGAGGUAGAAUUCCACGUGUAGCAGUGAAAUGCGUAGAGAUGUGGAGGAAUACCGAUGGCGAAGGCAGCCUCCUGGGAUAACACUGACGUUCAUGCUCGAAAGCGUGGGUAGCAAACAGGAUUAGAUACCCUGGUAGUCCACGCCCUAAACGAUGUCAAUUAGCUGUUGGGCAACUUGAUUGCUUAGUAGCGUAGCUAACGCGUGAAAUUGACCGCCUGGGGAGUACGGUCGCAAGAUUA